Passer domesticus (house sparrow) is the source of this 240-nucleotide long non-coding RNA. RefSeq lists it as uncharacterized. NCBI's taxonomy places the organism in Eukaryota, Metazoa, Chordata, Aves, Passeriformes, Passeridae. The transcript has 2 exons. The record is from RefSeq and is a predicted model, not a curated record.
AUCAAGAGGCAGAAAAUUGGAUCACGAAAGCAUAAUUCAGAUGGAAUUGCUGAUGGUGCCUGUGCUUGCAGGCUGCAGGGUCCCAGUGCAAAAGGACCAGCUCAGGACCACCAGCUGUGCCACAGGAGUUCCUGAGGACAGGGCAGAGCAGCUCCCCCUCUCCAAAGUGCCUCUCUGAAGACACUUUAUGUUGCAGUCAUUAACUGCUGAUAACAAUAAAUGAAUUCUUUGAUCUUUCUA